UCCCUUCCUCUUCCUCCCCCUCUCGAUCUCUCUUUCCCUCGUUUUCUUCAACGUGUUGUUCCUUCUUCGAUCUCUCUCCAACAAUCGAAUGAAAUUGAAGAAAGAAGAGAAAAUCGAAGGGAGAAGAAAAUUUGGAAGCCAGGCAGGGGAAAGCAACAUUCUGCCACUACUUUUCAAAGAUUUUGCACACCAAUUUUUCUGGAGGUGUGUUUUGCACAGUUUGCUUGCUGCCUCAUGAAGAGGCUUGUUUAAUCUAAUGUAACUAUUUAAGUACUUCUCAUGGCAAGGUGUAGAUUAUUUGAACUAUGAUAACUGUUACCAUGAUGGAUCAAAGCCUCAAUACAGGUAACAUUUUUCUCAGAAAAUGAGUUCCUGCUGCACAUGUUUCAAGUACGGCCAAAACAGGAAGUCAAACAAGUGAAGUUCAUUGGGAUAUCAAAAACAUUUUUAAUCCAUUUUUAAAGAAAUGGGUUUGACUAAAUUGUUUCAUUUCAAUCAGCAAUUGUCAUGUUGCCAUUCAUAUCCAUCAUUGUUGUCAUUAACAAUCCACCUGCAAUGUAAAUAAAAAUUAGUUCAUCUCAUUUUAGUUAAGAGUAUUUAUGUUUCAGUGAUCUUGGUUUAUAUAAAUUAUGGGUUAUCAAGAUUACUUUUAAUCAUUACCAAAGUCUCUAAAUAAAGUAUUUUAAGUCAUUUUAAGUGGCAACCAAACAGGGCCUAGGAUUUGAUUUCACAGUCUAAUAUUUAUUUACCUCUAGUAAUUCCUUGCGACCUUUUUAAAAUUUAAUGUUAUCCAUGUCAUUGAUAUAAGAAUGUGAACCUUUCAUCCAUGACUCAAGUUUUUCCCAAGACAAGGUGUGGUUGUGAAAGGGUCCAGGGAAAUUGUUUUUCAUGAUUGGUUGAAAGGUCAAUUGACAUCUCGUCCCAUUUUGCUUUGUUGGAUACCACACAUAGUGAAGGUAAAGUGUCUGUUUACUUGUUAGUAAACAUAAAGCAUCUCUCCAAUUACUGUGGCAAAUGGCUGCAUUAUUUGAGUAGCUGUUGUUGGCAUUAACAAGUCUGGAAGGGCUUUUGCAAACUCAUCAUCUCUUUCCUUGAGGUGGGAAUUGAGUGGUUGUGAGAAGCUGGCAUAUUGGAAAGAGAGUGACAGUUCGGAAAGGUCUGAGUCCUCUUGGGAGAGGUUUUUGGUUUUGCAAAAUGCAACAGGACUGGUAACAACAAAUUAAUCCUUUUGAUGUCCAUCUUUAAUCAUUUGAUUUUUGAUAUGAUUUUUUUUUUGUUUUAAUGAAUGCAGUAGUUGGCUUCAUUUGUAGUAUUGUUACAAAGGUUUAGCCUCACAAGGAUAUUUACUGUGUUCAGGAACCUAUAAUGAUGUUGUUGCCCUGUUCUCAAAUUGUUUCACCUGGACCUGUGUAAAGCAUUUCUCUGACCUGUAUGGAAAAACACCUGCGAUUUCUCAACUACUGUUUUAAACUGAUUUUUGGUGUAGCUGAUUGGAAAUUCAAAAGAUUUUAUUUUUGGGAUUUUUUUAUUUUUUAUUUUUUUUAAAGUUUGAAUACUGUUUCUGUGAUGGGUUUGGCUGAAUUCGUAUGUUGUUGGAUUUUUAGUAAUGAAGUCUGAUUGAGUUUACUUUGAUUCUCUUUUUUCCAAUUCGGUUUUGAAAAUUUGAAUGUUAGAGAAGUGCUACUGUGAUUUGUCUGGAUGUAUUUAAGUGACUAUUUUGUGUGUUCUCUACACCAUAAUGAGUCUUUUAGUUUACCUUUGCUAAUCUACUGCUCUGCUUUUCUGGGCGAGGCAGACUCCUAUGAUAGCUCACUACCAUUUUGAAAAUGGUGGUGUCUCUACAUCCUCAAAUGUGGCACUCAUGUACGUCUAUACUAUCCAGAUCAUCAGGACUGUGGGCACACUUUGGAUGGAGCAUAUCACUAACGCCACACUGAUCAAGCAACCCUACUUGUCCAAUUGAGGGCGAAAUGAGAUGGUUUCUAUCAUAUUUUCAGUGUAGUUUUUAGGAUUAUGCUCCACCAGCAAUUCUGGAUUGCCAUAUGGCUGUGCCAUGUGCAAUGUUGAAGUGUCACCACUCACCACCAUUUUAAGUGGUGAACUAUAUGAAUCUACCCUUCUAGGUGGUGAUGCAUGAUGCAUCUUUUUGGGUUUCAUUGGUGCUAAUGGUUUAGCAAAUCCACAUCUUAGUCUCAUCCACUUAUAGAUUGUCAGAUUCUAGUUUUUUUUUUUUUUUUUUCAAAUGUUAUUUUUGUUUUUCGUUUAACUGUUGUUGUCAUUUUGUGGUGGGGCUUCUUCCCAUUUUUGAAUUGUUGGUAGUGCUUUGAACUCGGAUACUGUUUCAUUUUCAUUUCUCUAAUAAUGUUUCUUAUCACGUAUGAAAAUACUGUGUAUUUUCUUUUUAAUAUAAUUGUGUAUGUUUCUGAAUGGAGCUUGCACUUGUUGGUAUGAGGUGGUUUUGGUUCGGCCUCGAAAAAGGCGGGACUGGAGUUUUUUGCUUCUUUUAACAAUACAUUUUCUUUUGGCAACAUGUAUCCAAUCACCAGUGUAGUAUCUAGCAUGCAUUUGAAUUUUUGGCUGGAAAAUUUUCUUCCUGCAACUUUGCACGCUGAGUAACUGACCUCAGUCCGAGCUCUCCAGUUAGGCAGCAAUGUAGCAGUUUGUUCUCCAUGCUUGAUUAAGAAACACAUCAUUUGCAGGUUAGUUCUCAUUACACAAACUGUAUACGCAAGGCAGUAAAUUUUGUUAACUUGAUAUAUGAAACUCGAUUGCAGUUUAUCUUUCAAAAGAAUAGAGCAAGCCAAAAGACUUCCUGGUGACCCAUGGGCUGAGUUAUGUCUAUUCCUAACAGAGCGAGCCAUAUGACCUCAAGUAGCCCAAAGGCCUAAUGACUAGGCACAUCCAAGCCUACCAUUCUUGGAUAUGUACUUCUCAUAAUCCAAGCACAUAAAAAGAGCAUGCGGCCGACAUUGCCAUGCGAGAAGUCGUCGUGUGUGAAAGGUGGCCAAGCUCUAUUGUUUUACAGUGGAAUCUUCUUAAUGGCGUUGGGAGUGGGCGGGAUUCGAGGGGCACUUCCAGCUCUAGGUGCAGAUCAAUUUAACCAGUAGGAUUCCAAGGAGCUUUUUUUUUUUCUCGAUAGCAGGCACAUUUUUUAAAGAAAGCUCAGGGUCUUUGUCUUCUCUCUCCGAAAGGUUCUCUGAUGGGCAGGUGAAUUUGAAUUUCCUUGGAGUUUUAUUCUCUCUGUCAUUUUGGGGUAGGCGAUUUUGAUUUGUGCAAAAUGUGGUUAUUGAAAGUGUCUUUCAUGCAAGCAAUGGAUAAUCUAGUGGAAAUUAUUUGCAUCGAUUUGGAGGUGGUUUGGCAGCUUGGAUUUUGGCAAUUUUGGUGCUCUUGAAGGAAACAAAUAUUCGCAUGCUUCCCCUUUUGCAAGACUAAUGGAGGGUGGUUAUGCUCGGCAGCUUCUACAAGUAAAGUUGUUUUCUUGUAUUUCUUUGUACUUCACCGUUUAGCAUAUAGAUUGUGGAACCACAAUAUUUUUACUUAUCAGCAACCAUGUCUGAACAAAUGUAUUAUUAUUAUCAUAUCUAUUAUUAUUAUUAUUAUUAUUUGUUUCUCUAUUGCUUUCUCAUAAUUCAAUGCUUCAGUUUCAGCAUAUCCUAUAAUGUCAAAUGUUAAAAUGUCUCUUCAUCCAAAUUAACUCUCUUCUUUAACAAUCCUACAGCACAUUCACGUAAUUUUUAUAUGUACUUUGUAAUUGUGGGUGUUAUAUCUAUAUCCAUGGCCAUGAUAUGUUAUUAGUGUUAUAUCAAGCAACCUUGGGGGCUAUGAAGGUUCUGCUUGUUGUAGGUGUAAAUGUGGAAAAGGAUGAAUUUUGUGUUGUACAUUUGACUUAAUUACAAAUUUAAAUUCAUGUUUUCAGCUAGAAAAAGGUGUAGAUGGGCUAUGUGAUAGUUUUGCUAGAUUGGAUUCACGUGUCUCUAGCGUGGGACUGAUGAUGCAGAAAAACUGAAUUCUUCUACUUGUGGCAAGCAGAGGAUCCAGAUUCAUGUUAACCCUUAUGUCUUUUGUUGUUCUGUUUUUGAGACAGAUUGCCAGAUUUUGUUCUGAGACACUGUUUUUGUCAUCUAAAAAACAUAAUUUCUUAUCAUUGAUUUAUGUUCUCUUAUUUAGUAAUUUUCAGGUAACAAGUUUUAGAAAUUCCAAUCUUAGUUCUAUAAAAUGGUUGUACAUCUCGUUUGAAUGAUCAAUAAAGUUACAAGUGGCGUGCUUUUACUUUUCUGGGAAAAACGUAUUGUAUUUUUUGUGAGUAUGGUGUUUUUUUUUUUGUUGACUCCUGCUGAUAACAUUGUAUUUACUAUUUGCAUAGGAAAAGGGCUCAGAUGAAAUUGUCUUCAAGGUGAUGGGAAGAGUUAUAAAUAAAAUUGUUAUGAUCGUGGAGCUGAUUAAGUCAAUGCCAGGUGUCACAGAGUUCGUGAUAGCAGAACUGCUUUACUUGCAAUGGAUGGGAUCCAAACCAGCCAAUUUAUCUUUACAUCAAUUCAACUGGAACGACUCGUGAUGAUGGUGAAACGGUGCAAAAUCAGAUGUGCAAUAAAGGAGGAGAAAAGAAACGUGCCUUCCUAACAUUAGAGGAAUUGCAGCAGUUAGCAGACGACACAAAUACAUACAAAUCUAUUGGAUGCGGAGAAAAUUUUUGUGGCUAGGGAAUGCUGAAUCAUUCAAGUUCCCUUCGCUCCAAUGGCAGGAAGUUUGUAUUUCAUAUGGUGAAGCAGGGGUGGGUAUAAAAAUUUGGAAUUAAUGAAUAAGCCCUGCUAGCCAAGUGGAUUUGGAGAUUUGGGAUCGAAUCUAACAGCCUUUGGAGACAAGUGGUUGCUGCUUCUGGAUGGUGGAUGAAAGAGUCCUCUAUGUACAAAACCUUGCUAAGUUGACCCCGUGCAGUCAAGAGAAUGUUUCUCUCUUUUGGUGAUGGGAAUAGAAUUAGAUUUUGGCUGGAUCGAUGGUGCAGCGCAACUACCUUGGCUGAGGCUUUUCCUUUGUUCUCUAUUUGCUCCAACCCUUUUAUUCCUGUCAAAGAUUGUUUCUUUCAUAAUGCAGCUCCAUCCCAAUCCUAGCUCUGAUGAUUCCAUGACUUGGAAGCUGUCCAAAUCAAGAGUAUUCUCUAUCAAAUCCCUCUACAACUCUCUAUCUUCAUCAGGACCACGUCGCCUAUUCUUUU
Magnolia sinica is the source of this 5212-nucleotide long non-coding RNA. RefSeq lists it as uncharacterized. Lineage: Eukaryota; Viridiplantae; Streptophyta; Magnoliopsida; Magnoliales; Magnoliaceae. The transcript is spliced from 8 exons. The record is from RefSeq and is a predicted model, not a curated record.